UCCUACGGGGCGCAGCAGUGGGGAAUAUUGCACAAUGGGGGAAACCCUGAUGCAGCAACGCCGCGUGAGUGAAGAAGUCAUUCGUGAUGUAGAGCUCUAUCAGCAGGGAAGAAAAUGACGGUACCUGAGUAAGAAGCCUCGGCUAACUACGUGCCAGCAGCCGCGGUAAUACGUAGGGGGCAAGCGUUAUCCGGAAUUAUUGGGCGUAAAGAGUACGUAGGUGGCAACCUAAGCGCAGGGUUUAAGGCAAUGGCUCAACCAUUGUUCGCCCUGCGAACUGGGAUGCUUGAGUGCAGGAGAGGAAA
RNAcentral lists this ribosomal RNA (305 nucleotides) under uncultured bacterium. RNAcentral describes it as "bacterial SSU rRNA". It matches the Rfam family "Bacterial small subunit ribosomal RNA", at positions 337 to 660 of the family's 1533-position model. The record is from RNAcentral.